UCUAUUGGCAGAUUAUUGCAUUAGAAUUAGAAUCUAAAUAACU
This 43-nucleotide transfer RNA is filed under the name Nemesia sp. CRBAME001410. RNAcentral describes it as "tRNA-Leu". Lineage: Eukaryota; Metazoa; Arthropoda; Arachnida; Araneae; Nemesiidae. The record is from RNAcentral.